Molecule: RNA transcript, 3103 nt
Organism: Andrographis paniculata
Lineage: Eukaryota; Viridiplantae; Streptophyta; Magnoliopsida; Lamiales; Acanthaceae
Gene name: floral homeotic protein APETALA 2-like
Exons: 11
Source: RefSeq, a predicted model, not a curated record
AAGGGUAGAUACAACAAUACAUACAUACAUACGUAUAGACUGAAAUAAAGUAAGCCAUAAGAGAGUUUUUUAUAAGGAAAAAGGCCAUUGUUAAAUUGGAGAAGACGCAGAGAUAGAGAGAGAAAAGAUAUAUACACACAUAUACAUAUAUAUGUAUAAAUAGAAAGAGUUUGAGAAAACCAAUCCCUCAACUAUAUAUCACUUGAUUGGGCAACACCACCAAACAUUCAAAAGCCCCAUAUCCCUAUCUUCUUCAAAUCCUCUCUCUCUGUUCCUUCCAAUCUGCAGCAGCAGCAGCAUUCACUCCACCAACAAGCAGAAGAGGAAGAAGAAGAAGAAAUCAAUAAGCAAAUUGUGUCUGUGUAUGUGUGUGUGUGUGUGAGAAAAUAUAUAUAUAUAGAUUUGAAGAGGCCAUAGAUCGAUUGAUUCUACUUUGGGGCAGGCCGGGAGAAAAACUGGCCUCGUCUAUGCAGAAUUGGGCAGGCUAGCUAGAGUGGGGAUGGAUUUCUGGAUUGAAUUGAAUUAGAUCGGCAGAGAGUCGAGAGGUCUCUCCAUUUCCAGAUUUUGAAAUUGGGAAUCACGAAAUUAGGGCUUUUUUUGUGCUAAGCUAGGGGAGUAGCUUAUUGAUGCUCUUUCAAUAGGCAGCAAACAGUUUGGGGGAUCAACUGACCAUUAUUUUAUAGAGGAAUAUACAAAUAUAUGUAUGUAUGUAUUUGUAUGUAUAUUUGUGUGUGUAAUUGUUUCUGCUGCCCACCAACUGUUCGAUUAAAGUGGGGAUGAAUUAUAUCUACCUUCCUGUUUGGUGAUGAGACUACUGAUCAGAAUUGGGGAGAGAAGAAAUAUUUUAUAAUCAAUCGCUCCUGCUUCCUGCUUUAUUCCCCUUUUUUGGGUGGUGCUGUUGGAUUUGUACUGUUCGUUGUUGCGCCGGAAUGUGGGAUCUGAAUGAUUCGCCGGAGGAGAGGAUGAUGGAGGAUGAAUCGGAGGAGUUUUCCGACGACAAAGGCAAGCGCGUCGGAUCCGCCUCCAAUUCCAGCUCUUCCGCCGUGGUUUUCGAGGAUGUUUCCGAGGAAGACGACGACGGAGAAAGGACAGCCGCAAGGAAGAGCGGCGGCGGCGCCGCCGUCCCCGGACAUGCCUUUGGAGUUUCGGUAGCUACUGAUGGCGACACGUGUCCUUCCUUAGCUCCGGUGACGCGGCAGUUUUUUCCGGUGGACGAUUCGGAAAUGUCCGCCGGACUUCCGAAUUUCCCCAGAGCUCACUGGUUCGGAGUCCAAUUCCGCCACUCCGAUCCCGACGGCGGCGGAACUGGUGGAUUGGUGAAGGCGCUGGGCGGCGGCGGCGAAGUGGCGCAGCCGCUUAAAAAGAGCCGGCGUGGACCGAGGUCCCGGAGCUCGCAGUACCGAGGAGUCACGUUUUACCGGCGGACUGGCCGUUGGGAAUCGCACAUAUGGGACUGCGGAAAGCAAGUCUACUUAGGAGGAUUCGACACAGCUCACGCCGCCGCACGUGCAUACGAUAGAGCCGCCAUUAAAUUCCGCGGAGUCGAAGCGGACAUAAACUUCAGCCUCGAGGAUUACAAAGAAGACAUGAAACAGAUGAGGAAUCUUACGAAGGAGGAAUUCGUGCACGUCCUGCGUCGCCAAAGCACAGGAUUCCCGAGGGGAAGUUCCAAGUAUAGAGGCGUAACUUUGCACAAAUGUGGGCGAUGGGAGGCUCGAAUGGGCCAAUUUUUGGGGAAAAAGUAUGUUUAUUUGGGUCUUUUCGAUACCGAAAUUGAAGCUGCCAGGGCUUAUGACAAAGCCGCCAUCAAAUGCAAUGGAAAGGAAGCUGUUACCAAUUUCGAUCCCACCAUUUAUGACGAAGAACUCAAAGCAGCAGCAGAGAGUUCCAACAAUUCAUCAUCAGAUCACAAUCUGGAUUUGAGCUUAGGUUCCAUCUCUGCAUCCAAAACCACUGAUCUUCGAGGCCCCCAUUCUUCGUCGGCGCAAUUCGAAUUCGAUUGGAGACGAUCAAUGAGGCCUCCUGAGGUGAUGAACUUCCAGCAAAUGGACAUGGCUGCUUCUGAUCACAAUAAUCAUCUUCCAAGAAAUGGACAUGAAAAGGAAACCUUACAGCUCUUAAACCAAACCCAACCACCCCAGAUGAUAAUCUCUCCAGGCUAUCAUCAUCAUCAUCAUCAGAUUCUUCAUCUUCCUCCUCAUCCCCAGCAGCAUCAAACGCCAUUAAUGACGACAGCAGCAGCUGCAGCAUCAUCGGGAUUCCCGCAAGCACAAUUACUCAGCUGGAUGCACAAGAACGACAUCCACCACCCACCCAUCAGACCCUCAUGAUCCACGCUUCAUUCCAGCCGUCCAUCUCUUUUCUGCCAUUGAUCUCCAUCCUCCGAUCCGCCUUUCUCUCAUGACCAAAAAAGCAAGCAGACAGACGUAUGGCUAUUAUUAUGAGAAGGACUUAACCUAACUCUUACUAAAGCUUCAACACAGUACUCUGAACCAAAAAUAUAAAAUAAAUAACACACACCCCCCAAAAAGUGAAUCCCACCCCACUUCUUUUGUCCCUGUACUUCUUCUUUUGCAUGUCCUGUUUUCCUCCUCCUCAGCUCCUGGGACCUCCGCUCCUCUUCAAUCCCCACCGUUUAUUGCACCCCGGACUCCGACUCCCGGGACUCCCUGUCAAUAUGUGGCGUGUUUGUGGAUAUCCAGCAUCACAAGCAAGUUUCUUCGCUCGCUCUUCGUUUCUUUAAGUUGAUAUUCUUCCCUCAUUAUUAUUUUUAUUUUUUAUUUAAUUACAUUAUUAAAUUCGUCGAAAGUUGCUACCAUGCCCCAACUAUGUGAUUAAAGUAUUAAUAGAAACGGAGAUAUUUUCACAAGUUGGGGGUGGGUGCAUAGUAAUAAUAUUAUUAUUAUUCUUAUUAAUUAAUAUUAUUAUGGGAAUAUUUGACAAUUGCAUCAUCUGUGACAUCACCAUCGAUUAUAGUAUAAUAAUAUAUAUAUAUUUAAAAAUAUGUGUACAGUGGCUGUUUCCAGUCCUUUCCUUUUAUAUAGUAAUAAUAUUAUUAUUAUUAUAAGUUGGCUUCGUGAUCUCGUAUCAUUUUUAAUGUUUG